AAUUGUCUUUAUGUUGUUUUCUUUGGAAAACUACCAAGCUAGAGUACGGUAGGGGCAUAGAGAAUUUUCGAUGGAGCAAUGAAAUGCGUAGAGAUCAAAAGAAACACCAAAGACUAAAGCACUAUGCUGGACUGACACAGACACUGAGAGACCAAAGCAAGGGGAGCCAAUGAGAUUAGAGACCCUAGUAGUCCUAGCUGUCAAUGAUGGGUAGUUUAAUAAUAUAAGAUAUGUGUUAAAUAUAUUUUUAGUUUUUAUAAAAUUUCAACAAUUCA
Molecule: non-coding RNA, 275 nt
Filed under: Cicer arietinum (chickpea)
Lineage: Eukaryota; Viridiplantae; Streptophyta; Magnoliopsida; Fabales; Fabaceae
Description: Bacterial small subunit ribosomal RNA
Rfam family: Bacterial small subunit ribosomal RNA
Source: Rfam by way of RNAcentral